UGGGGGGGUGCUUACCAUGCAAGUCGAACGGUGAACCAGGAGCUUGCUCUUGGGGAUCAGUGGCGAACGGGUGAGUAACACGUGAGUAACCUGCCCCAGACUCUGGGAUAAGCCUUGGAAACGAGGUCUAAUACCGGAUACGCGACUCCACCGCAUGGUGAGGGUUGGGAAAGUUUUUCGGUCUGGGAUGGACUCGCGGCCUAUCAGCUUGUUGGUGAGGUAAUGGCUCACCAAGGCGACGACGGGUAGCCGGCCUGAGAGGGCGACCGGCCACACUGGAACUGAGACACGGUCCAGACUCCUACGGGAGGCAGCAGUGGGGAAUAUUGCACAAUGGGCGCAAGCCUGAUGCAGCGACGCCGCGUGGGGGAUGAAGGCCUUCGGGUUGUAAACCCCUUUCAGCAGGGAAGAAGCGAAAGUGACGGUACCUGCAGAAGAAGCGCCGGCUAACUACGUGCCAGCAGCCGCGGUAAUACGUAGGGCGCAAGCGUUGUCCGGAAUUAUUGGGCGUAAAGAGCUCGUAGGCGGUUUGUCGCGUCUGCUGUGAAAUCCCGAGGCUCAACCUCGGGCCUGCAGUGGGUACGGGCAGACUAGAGUGUGGUAGGGGAGACUGGAAUUCCUGGUGUAGCGGUGGAAUGCGCAGAUAUCAGGAGGAACACCGAUGGCGAAGGCAGGUCUCUGGGCCACAACUGACGCUGAGGAGCGAAAGCGUGGGGAGCGAACAGGAUUAGAUACCCUGGUAGUCCACGCCGUAAACGGUGGGCACUAGAUGUGGGGCUCUUUCCAUGAGUUCCGCGUCGCAGCUAACGCAUUAAGUGCCCCGCCUGGGGAGUACGGCCGCAAGGCUAAAACUCAAAGGAAUUGACGGGGGCCCGCACAAGCGGCGGAGCAUGCGGAUUAAUUCGAUGCAACGCGAAGAACCUUACCAAGGCUUGACAUAUACCCUCUAUCCCCAGAGAUGGGGAGUGCUUCGGCGGGGUAUACAGGUGGUGCAUGGUUGUCGUCAGCUCGUGUCGUGAGAUGUUGGGUUAAGUCCCGCAACGAGCGCAACCCUCGUCCUAUGUUGCCAGCACGUGAUGGUGGGGACUCAUAGGAGACUGCCGGGGUCAACUCGGAGGAAGGUGGGGAUGACGUCAAAUCAUCAUGCCCCUUAUGUCUUGGGCUUCACGCAUGCUACAAUGGCCGGUACAAUGGGCUGCGAUACCGUAAGGUGGAGCGAAUCCCAAAAAGCCGGUCUCAGUUCGGAUUGAGGUCUGCAACUCGACCUCAUGAAGUCGGAGUCGCUAGUAAUCGCAGAUCAGCAACGCUGCGGUGAAUACGUUCCCGGGCCUUGUACACACCGCCCGUCAAGUCACGAAAGUCGGUAACACCCGAAGCCAGUGGCCCAACCCUUUUGGGGGGGAGCUGUCUAAGGUGGAUG
Molecule: ribosomal RNA, 1420 nt
Filed under: Demequina sp.
Lineage: Bacteria; Bacillati; Actinomycetota; Actinomycetes; Micrococcales; Demequinaceae
Description: bacterial SSU rRNA
Rfam family: Bacterial small subunit ribosomal RNA
Source: RNAcentral